GCAGAGGCAUUUAGCUGUGUAAACACAGAGCUUCAGUGGCAGCACCCUAAAUGCUUAGCUGAUAGAUCCGGAAUUAAAUACAGACCUAGAAACUGGAGUUGGAAAACUUCCUGGCAGCACUCCUUCCCUGCCAUCCCGGUGAUCCCCUUCUGGAUGGAGGGUGUGGAGCUCAGCACAUUCACGUCUGCAGGUUUAUGAUCAACUUUGAAUUAAUUUUGAUGAAAAGUGUAAGGUCAACUCUCCACCUUCCCACCCACUCUGUGCCUGGAAGGGUGACUCCUCUGGCCACCUCUGGCUUCUUGCUUGGUGUGAUCAAAGGAGACUGGAGGAUGCAAGGAGAGUGAAGCGGCUUGUUGGAUUUUGCUUGGCAUGGAAUUGAAUCAAUAGAUCAAUUUGGGAAGAAAUGACAUCUUGGAAGUAUUGAGAAUUUCAAUUCAUGAAAGUCUUGCUCCAUUGCCCUGGCUGGAGUGCAGCGGUGUGAUCCCCACUCACUGCAACCUCUGUCUCCCGGGUUCAAGCGAUUCUCCAGCCUUAGCCUCCUGAGUAGCUGGGACUACAGGCACGUGCCACCAUGCCUGGCUAAUUUUUUGUAUUUUUAGUAGAGACAGGGUUUCAUCAUGUUAGCCAGGAUGGUCUCAAUCUCCUACCUCAUGAUCCACCCGCCUCAGCCUCCCAAAGUGCUGGGAUUACAGACAUGAGCCACCAUGCCUGGCCCAGUGUUCUUUUCUUGUGCAGUCUAAUUUUGGUAUAAGGCUUUUGCUGGCUCUAUAAAAUGACAUGGAAAAUAUUUUCUCCUCUUCUACUCUCUGAAAAAGUUUGUGAAUAAUUUGUAUCAUUUGUUCUAUAAAUACACAAGAGAACUUAUCAGUGAAGUCAUCUGAAAAGGUUUUAAUCGUGAGAAGGUUAUACUGGUGAAUUUAAUUUCAUUACUACAUAUAAAACUAAUUAUGUUUCCUCUUUUUCUUGGAUAUGCUUGAAUAAUUGUGCAUUUCUAAUAUAUUUUAAUCCAAAUUGUCAAAUUUCAUCAAAAUUGUCAAAUUUCUUGGCAUACUAUCCCUGUAUUAGCCUUUUAAUGUCUGUAGAAUCUGUAGUAAUGUCUCCUAUUUUAUUUUUGGUAUUGAAUAUGUGUUUGUGUUUUUCCUUGGUCAGUCUUGCUAGUUUUAUUUACCAUUUCAAAGAAAUAAUCUACUUUAUUGAUUACCUUCGUUAUCUUUAUUAUUUCCUUACUUCUGUUAACAUUUUAUUGAAUUUGUCAUUUUUCUAGCCUUUGAGAUUGCAAGAUUAAAUUUUUUAUUUUGAAACCUUUCUGUGUUUCUAAUAUAAGCAAUUAAAGGUAUAAAAUUACUUCAAGUUCUACCUUAUAUGUAUCUCAUAAAUUUUAAAAUAUUAUAAAUUUAUUACUAUUUCAUUUAAGAUAUUUUAAAAUUUACCUUGCACUUUUUAAAAUUCAUGGCAUACUUGGAAGAUUUUGUUUAACUUUCCAACACAGUAGUGUUUUAAAAAAACAUAUUUUAUAUUUGUUAACUUCUAUUUUAACUCUAUUUAAUUUCAUCAUAGAGAAAAUACUAUGUAAUUUCAAUGCAUAACAUUUAUUGUGUCUUCUUUAAUUUCUUAACAGAUGGUCUGUCUUGGAGAAUGUUCCAUGUGCACUUGAAACAAAUAUGUAUGUUUUCUUGGAUAUAUACAGCUCAAUAGGUUAAAUUGUUUGAUAAUAUUCAGAUAUUCUUUUUCCUUACAGUUGUUUUGUCUAUUUGUUUUCUUAACCACCGGGGCAAGAAUAAAGUCUUCAGUUAUAAUUGUAAAUUUGUCUAUUUCUUCCAGUAGUUUUGUUAAAUUUGCCUAAUGUAUUUUGAAUAACUGUUUAUAUGUUGAUUCAUUUAGGAUUGUUAUGUCUUCUUGAUUAAUUGAUACUUUAUCAGUAUAAAAUAUCUGUCUUUGUCUUUAUGAAUAUUCUUUGUCUUGAAGUCUACUUUGCUUAUAAUAUAGC
Molecule: long non-coding RNA, 1987 nt
Filed under: Homo sapiens (human)
Lineage: Eukaryota; Metazoa; Chordata; Mammalia; Primates; Hominidae
Description: HSALNT0397308
Source: RNAcentral